Molecule: ribosomal RNA, 497 nt
Filed under: uncultured bacterium
Lineage: Bacteria
Description: partial 16S ribosomal RNA
Rfam family: Bacterial small subunit ribosomal RNA
Source: RNAcentral
GAUGAACGCUGGCGGCGUGCCUAAUACAUGCAAGUCGAGCGAACAGACGAGGAGCUUGCUCCUCUUACGUUAGCGGCGGACGGGUGAGUAACACGUGGAUAACCUACCUAUAAGACUGGGAUAACUUCGGGAAACCGGAGCUAAUACCGGAUAAUAUAUUUAACCGCAUGGUUCAAUAGUGAAAGACGGUUUUGCUUUCACUUAUAGAUGGAUCCGCGUCGCUUUACCGAGUUGGUAAGGUAACGGCUAACCAAGGCAACGAUGCGUAGCCGACCGGAGAGGGUGAUCGGCCACACUGGAACUGAGACACGGCCCAGACUCCUAGGGGAGGCAGCAGUAGGGAAUCUUCGGCAAUGGGCGAAAGCCUGACGGAGAAACGCCGCGUGAGUGAUGAAGGUCUUCGGAUCGUAAAACUCUGUUAUUAGGGAAGAACAAAUGUGUAAGUAAAUAUGCACGUCUUGACGGUACCUAAUCAGAAAGCCACGGCUAACUACGUG